RNAcentral lists this ribosomal RNA (496 nucleotides) under uncultured bacterium. Its description in RNAcentral is "bacterial SSU rRNA". It matches the Rfam family "Bacterial small subunit ribosomal RNA", at positions 21 to 507 of the family's 1533-position model. The record is from RNAcentral.
GGCUCAGAAUGAACGUUGGCGGCGUUGGAUUAGGCAUGCAAGUCGAGCGAGAAUUUGCUAGUUGAAACUUCGGUCGAUUCUAGUGAAGGGACAGCGGCGAACGGGAGAGUAACGCGUGGAGUAUCUGCCCUUAAGCCUGGGAUAGCUGCGGGAAACUGCAGGUAAUACCGGAUAAUGUCUUCGGACCAAAGGUGUGAUUCCGCUUAAGGAUGGCUCCGCGUCCUAUUAGCUUGUUGGCGAGGUAACGGCUCACCAAGGCUACGAUGGGUACCGGGUGUGAGAGCAUGACCCGGCUCACUGGGACUGAGACACUGCCCAGACACCUACGGGUGGCUGCAGUCGAGAAUCUUCGGCAAUGGACGCAAGUCCGACCGAGCGACGCCGCGUGCGGGAUGAAGGCCUUCGGGUUGUAAACCGCUGUCGUAAGGGAUGAAACGCUAGUGAGUUAUCUCAUUAGUUUGACUGAACCUAGGAGGAAGGGCCGGCUAAUCUCGUG